ACCCAUCAGCCAUUUGUCUCUGACUUC
RNAcentral lists this non-coding RNA (27 nucleotides) under Rattus norvegicus (Norway rat). Lineage: Eukaryota; Metazoa; Chordata; Mammalia; Rodentia; Muridae. The record is from RNAcentral.